AUUGAACGCUGGCGGCAUGCCUUACACAUGCAAGUCGAACGGCAGCACGGGUGCUUGCACCUGGUGGCGAGUGGCGAACGGGUGAGUAAUACAUCGGAACAUGUCCUGUAGUGGGGGAUAGCCCGGCGAAAGCCGGAUUAAUACCGCAUACGAUCUACGGAUGAAAGCGGGGGACCUUCGGGCCUCGCGCUAUAGGGUUGGCCGAUGGCUGAUUAGCUAGUUGGUGGGGUAAAGGCCUACCAAGGCGACGAUCAGUAGCUGGUCUGAGAGGACGACCAGCCACACUGGGACUGAGACACGGCCCAGACUCCGACGGGAGGCAGCAGUGGGGAAUUGUGGACAAUGGGCGAAAGCCUGAUCCAGCAAUGCCGCGUGUGUGAAGAAGGCCUGCGGGUUGUAAAGCACUUUUGUCCGGAAAGAAAUCCUUGGCCCUAAUACGGUCGGGGGAUGACGGUACCGGAAGAAUAAGCACCGGCUAACUACGU
This 485-nucleotide ribosomal RNA is filed under the name uncultured bacterium. RNAcentral's name for it is "partial 16S ribosomal RNA". It matches the Rfam family "Bacterial small subunit ribosomal RNA", at positions 29 to 506 of the family's 1533-position model. The record is from RNAcentral.